This 253-nucleotide ribosomal RNA is filed under the name uncultured prokaryote. RNAcentral describes it as "partial 16S ribosomal RNA". It matches the Rfam family "Bacterial small subunit ribosomal RNA", at positions 524 to 776 of the family's 1533-position model. The record is from RNAcentral.
UACGUAGGUGGCGAGCGUUGUCCGGAUUUAUUGGGUUUAAAGGGUGCGUAGGCGGCCUUGUAAGUCAGUUCUGAAAUAUCCCGGCUUAACCGGGAGGGUGGGAUUGAUACUGCAGGGCUUGAGUAGAGUCGAGGUAGGCGGAAUUGACGGUGUAGCGGUGAAAUGCUUAGAUAUCGUCAAGAACACCGAUAGUGUAGACAGCUUACUAGUCUCAAACUGACGCUGAGGCACGAAAGUGUGGGGAUCAAACAGG